CACGUAGGGCGCAAGCGUUGUCCGGAAUUAUUGGGCGUAAAGAGCUCGUAGGCGGACUGUUGCGUCCGCUGUGAAAAGCUGGGGCUUAACCCUGGCCUUGCAGUGGAUACGGGCAGACUAGAGGUAGGUAGGGGAGAAUGGAAUUCCCGGUGUAGCGGUGAAAUGCGCAGAUAUCAGGAGGAACACCUAUUGCGAAGGCAGCUCGCUGGGACGUAACUGACGCUGAGACGCGAAAGCGUGGGGAGCAAACAGG
RNAcentral lists this ribosomal RNA (253 nucleotides) under uncultured bacterium. Its description in RNAcentral is "partial 16S ribosomal RNA". It matches the Rfam family "Bacterial small subunit ribosomal RNA", at positions 524 to 776 of the family's 1533-position model. The record is from RNAcentral.